Molecule: long non-coding RNA, 3051 nt
Organism: Saccostrea cuccullata (small rock oyster)
Lineage: Eukaryota; Metazoa; Mollusca; Bivalvia; Ostreida; Ostreidae
Exons: 5
Source: RefSeq, a predicted model, not a curated record
GAAUUUCUCUUCGAAGUCCUGUUUUAUGCGUCGACCAAUGUCGUAGACAUGUAAUACUAAAUUUACAAUUACUUGCCCAUUUCUGGACCAAAUUCAACAAUUUAUGCACCAAAAUGUUUGGAAUUCUGUCCUCUUUGCACCUAAAUACAAAAAAGUGAAUUGCAAAAAAAAAUUAUUUCCUUUAAGGUAGCUAAACACAGUUUCGUAUAAAAUCCAGGGGGUUUUUCCCAGAGAGAAGCAUGCUGGGUAGGGAUUUUCCUGCUAUUUAUAGGAGUCUAGAUGAAAACUGCAUCUUUUUUGUUUUUAUUCACAUAAAGUAGAAUCUUAUCUUAAUAUUUAAAGAAAAAAAUGUGCAUUCAUUUUUAGAAAAAAAAAAUUAUGAGACUUUUUAAUAGGGGGAGAUAACUCCCAAAACAUCCGGUUUUCACAUGUGCAGAAUUGCAUGAGUCAAUUAGCAGGUAAUGUAGCUCUUUCAAGAGGUGGAAAAUGUACCCUAAAAGCACACUAAAAGAAAACCUUAGGACUUGUUCUGUGAAAUGCAUACAACUUAUUUUGUCUGAUUUUUUCUGUUUUUGUUGAGCAGGGGGGUUAAAAAUGCAUAGGUGCACUGAAAAUGGAUGCAUAAACAACCCAAUAUCCCCCAUAUUUCAGGUGUCAAAUACCCCCUAGUAGUAAUUGAUGAAUGUAUUAUAGUUGGAUAUUUACAAAAUUCACAAUUUUAUCUUUCCAUUGAUAUGCAGAAGUCUAUGUAACAAGCCUCCAUUUUAUUUUUUUAUAGGGGUCAGUUUUGCUUGUCCCUCACCAAGUAACGUCCUGAUAACGUCAUACAUAAAACUGUGUUUUGCACCCUUAAGGAGUAGCAUUUGAUGACAUUUCCCACAUUUAUUUGCAUGGGUCAGUUUUGCUUGUCCCUCACCAAGUAACGUCCUGAUAACGUCAUACAUAAAACUGUGUUUUGCACCCUUAAGGAGUAGCAUUUGAUGACAUUUCCCACAUUUAUUUGCAUGGGUCAGUUUUGCUUGUCCCUCACCAAGUAACGUCCUGAUAACGUCAUACAUAAAACUGUGUUUUGCACCCUUAAGGAGUAGCAUUUGAUGACAUUUCCCACAUUUAUUUGCAUGGGUCAGUUUUGCUUGUCCCUCACCAAGUAACGUCCUGAUAACGUCAUACAUAAAACUGUGUUUUGCACCCUUAAGGAGUAGCAUUUGAUGACAUUUCCCACAUUUAUUUGCAUGUAAGUUCAUAGAAAAUUGCUUUAUUUGUUUUAAUUUAUGUAGUUAACCAUACAAUAUAAUCUCAAGUUGACACUGUGUAAGGCAUAAUGCCUAUUAGAUACAUGUUCCAUAGAAUUUAUACAUAUGAUAAGGAUUCAGGGGCUAAAGUUGUUAUUUUACAUUAUGACGCAACUGCAUUGUGACAUCAAAGUGUGACGUCAUGUCAAAAAUGGAAGCUUCGCAAGGUCAUGACCUUCAAUUUAAUUGAUCGCAAAUGAGAAUAUGUAUCUUCUGUAUAGAUAUACAUGUGACAUAGAACUAUUGAGUAUCUAGUUAGGGUGACACCAUCCAGAUUUUUGAGGCAAUCUUCUGAUUUAAGACAGUGACUAUUUCCAAUUAGACCCCCCCCCCCCCCCCUUGUUUAUACAGAAACUAGCAAUAUCUGUAAAAAUUGUUUGGCAGCUUUUCAAAAAAUUAUAAUGUAACAUUUUAUUGAUAUUCAAAUACUGUAUAUUUCAUACUUUGUGUUUUUUAAAUUGAAGAAAAAUAAAAUUAUUGUGUGAGCUGAUUCGGUUAGGUUUGAAUUUCUCUUCGAAGUCCUGUUUUAUGCGUCGACCGAUGUCGUAGACAUGUAAUACUAAAUUUACAAUUACUUGCCCAUUUCUGGACCAAAUUCAACAAUUUAUGCACCAAAAUGUUUGGAAUUCUGUCCUCUUUGCACCUAAAUACAAAAAAGUGAAUUGCAAAAAAAAAUUAUUUCCUUUAAGGUAGCUAAACACAGUUUCGUAUAAAAUCCAGGGGGUUUUUCCCAGAGAGAAGCAUGCUGGGUAGGGAUUUUCCUGCUAUUUAUAGGAGUCUAGAUGAAAACUGCAUCAUUUUUGUUUUUAUUCACAUAAAGUAGAAUCUUAUCUUAAUAUUUAAAGAAAAAAAUGUGCAUUCAUUUUUAGAAAAAAAAAAUUAUGAGACUUUUUAAUAAGGGGAGAUAACUCCCAAAACAUCCGGUUUUCACAUGUGCAGAAUUGCAUGAGUCAAUUAGCAGGUAAUGUAGCUCUUUCAUGAGGUGGAAAAUGUACCCUGAAAGCACACUAAAAGAAAACCUUAGGACUUGUUCUGUGAAAUGCAUACAACUUAUUUUGUCUGAUUUUUUCUGUUUUUGUUGAGCAGGGGGGUUAAAAAUGCAUAGGUGCACUGAAAAUGGAUGCAUAAACAACCCAAUAUCCCCCAUAUUUCAGGUGUCAAAUACCCCCUAGUAGUAAUUGAUGAAUGUAUUAUAGUUGGAUAUUUACAAAAUUCACAAUUUUAUCUUUCCAUUGAUAUGCAGAAGUCUAUGUAACAAGCCUCCAUUUUAUUUUUUUAUAGGGGUCAGUUUUGCUUGUCCCUCACCAAGUAACGUCCUGAUAACGUCAUACAUAAAACUGUGUUUUGCACCCUUAAGGAGUAGCAUUUGAUGACAUUUCCCACAUUUAUUUGCAUGGGUCAGUUUUGCUUGUCCCUCACCAAGUAACGUCCUGAUAACGUCAUACAUAAAACUGUGUUUUGCACCCUUAAGGAGUAGCAUUUGAUGACAUUUCCCACAUUUAUUUGCAUGUAAGUUCAUAGAAAAUUGCUUUAUUUGUUUUAAUUUAUGUAGUUAACCAUACAAUAUAAUCUCAAGUUGACACUGUGUAAGGCAUAAUGCCUAUUAGAUACAUGUUCCAUAGAAUUUAUACAUAUGAUAAGGAUUCAGGGGCUAAAGUUGUUAUUUUACAUUAUGACGCAACUGCAUUGUGACAUCAAAGUGUGACGUCAUGUCAAAAAUGGAAGCUUCGCAAGGUCAUGACCUUCAAUUUAAUUGAUC